UGGGGAAUAUUGCGCAAUGGGCGAAAGCCUGACGCAGCGACGCCGCGUGGGGGAUGACGGCCUUCGGGUUGUAAACCUCUUUCGCCAUCGACGAAGCCUUUCGGGGUGACGGUAGGUGGAGAAGAAGCACCGGCCAACUACGUGCCAGCAGCCGCGGUAACACGUAGGGUGCGAGCGUUGUCCGGAAUUAUUGGGCGUAAAGAGCUCGUAGGCGGUGUGUCGCGUCGGCCGUGAAAACCUACAGCUUAACUGUGGGCGUGCGGUCGAUACGGGCAUCACUAGAGUUCGGCAGGGGAGACUGGAAUUCCUGGUGUAGCGGUGAAAUGCGCAGAUAUCAGGAGGAACACCGGUGGCGAAGGCGGGUCUCUGGGCCGAUACUGACGCUGAGGAGCGAAAGCGUGGGGAGCGAACAG
RNAcentral lists this ribosomal RNA (413 nucleotides) under uncultured bacterium. RNAcentral describes it as "bacterial SSU rRNA". It matches the Rfam family "Bacterial small subunit ribosomal RNA", at positions 355 to 775 of the family's 1533-position model. The record is from RNAcentral.